AUGUAUCAGCCUCCAAAUUCUCCGGACAUGAACGCCCUGGACCUUGGGUUCUUCAGCUCUAUUCAGUCGCUAACAGACUGCAAAAGUCCAAAAACUAUUCCAAAGCUGAUUAAAGGUGUUCAAGAGGAGUUCGAUGGAUAUGAAGUUUCAAAACUGAACAGAGUAUUAACUCUGCAGACUUGCAUGGUUGAAGUAAUGAAGAAUGGUGGAGCCAAUAAAUACAAAAUCCCGCACAUGAACAAGGAUAGGCUAGAAAGGCUACAACUGCUACCGCCCAGGAUCUCAGUUCCUCCUGAAGUGUAUGCAAUGGCACUAGAGAUGCUUGGACGCUGA
This 333-nucleotide ribosomal RNA is filed under the name Triticum aestivum (bread wheat). Its description in RNAcentral is "partial small subunit ribosomal RNA". The record is from RNAcentral. Lineage: Eukaryota; Viridiplantae; Streptophyta; Magnoliopsida; Poales; Poaceae.